Carassius gibelio (silver crucian carp) is the source of this 3389-nucleotide long non-coding RNA. RefSeq lists it as uncharacterized. The record is from RefSeq and is a predicted model, not a curated record. The transcript is spliced from 3 exons. NCBI's taxonomy places the organism in Eukaryota, Metazoa, Chordata, Actinopteri, Cypriniformes, Cyprinidae.
UAAUCGCGAUUAAUCGCAAUUAAAAGACUGACACUUUUUGGAUAUGUAAAUGUAAAAUGUAAAUAAUUAAUGUCAACUCAAGACAAAGAAACUAUUUAAAUUCAAAAUAUGAUUGUUUAUUGGAAUUUUUGUUUAACUUGUAACACAGAUUUUCUCAUGUAAACAACAUACCUGCAAUAAAUCAUCAAUAUCCUCCAAAUUAACUGUUGGCUUGAAAGCCAUAUUUAUUACAGAAAUAAAAACACAGGCAUGUAAGUACCAUUUGAAUUUCAAAACAAUCAAUGCCAAUAAAAAACAAAAACAAAACAAAAAUUUCCAUGUUGAAUUCUAAGUGGACUGCAAAAAAAUUCCAAAGUAUAGUUAUUGCCAGUGCUUUAAGUGAGCCGGUAUGCUCAUUUGGACAUCUGUUUUAAUAGAGGUUUUAAUCUUUUACCUGCACUGCCGAUUUUCAGAGCGCCCUUCACAAUGCAAGCUUCCUAAUUCAUCCCACCCAGAGCAGAAACUACAUUACCCAUUCACCCUUAAGUUAUACAAGUGAAUAGCGCAUGUGUCGCUUUUCCCACUGUUAAGUGUCAACAACUCAUCGUGGCCGGAGAAGGUGUGUGAAACUCGUUGUGAGUUAUACUAAAGCAAAAUCUUGAGUAUUUAUUGUCUGAUAAACAUUAAAAACUGUCUGCGGAGGUUGAGUCGUCCUGCAGCCCCCGCUGGCUGCUCAUUGGCUGCAGCAUCUUUUUUCUAAGUUCUAAAAAAAUACCGUAGACGGCAAGGCACAAAUUUAGAUAUUCAUUUAUCUAAUUAAUCUAUAGCCUAUGCACAAAGACAAUAUGAUCUUUUCGUCCCCUUUUUGUUUUAAAGCUUGAUGAAGAGAGAGAGCGCAAGUUGCUGCAGCUGCGAGGACAGUGAUGCACGCGUACAGGAGUGAUUGACAGUUCGCGGCACGGUGUACAAAAAAUACUCCGCUACACAAUUAUUUCGUUAUUUUCAUUUAAGCUUAUAAACGUUAGCGUUACAGAAAGGUCUGAUUUACGCUUUAUUACGCUGAUUUAUUUUUUUUUUUUAAAUGACAUUUGAAUUCAUGAUUUUAAUGUUGCUGUUUCUUGUGGCAGACUAAAUGAAGAGUAAUGUUUCUUGUGGCAGACUGAAGAGUAAUCCGGCAGAGUUUUAUACUGAAACUUUCCGUCUAAAAGUCCUUCCUUGGUCUUAUGCCAACCCGUUCUCAUCAGUCUGCGUAUAAAUAACACGACUUUACAUUUUCUAUUUGCGUGUAAUGCAUACGCCAAAUGCCAUUUUUGCGUGCAUAUGAUACGCCAAUCCUUCCCAUUAAUUUCGGUGGAGAGCAGAUGCGUCCAAAUAACACGCAUCAUCUUCAGCGGCAGUGACGUCACUAGCGUGGCUCGUUCAGUUCACCUGAUGCGCGUACACCUUCAAACAGGUAAGCAAGGGUAAAUAUAUUUUUUUAUUCUUCUUUUUGUAAUGAUAUCACGUGGUUAAGCGUAUUGUUUUAAUUAUUUCAGUAUUUCUGCAUCACGUUAGACAGGGCCGUGUUUUUAAAGGGCAGUUUAUGCUCAAAUUAUGGGUCAGUGGGCUGCUCAGCUAGCCUACCAUUGUCAUUAGCCUAAGCUAACCUGUACUGUUUAUAGACCUGUUGCAGUUUUAAAUAAAUUUAUGAUGUGACAUAUGGGUCUUCAGCUUUUAGACAUGACUAAUACAAGCACAACAAAGCACCCAACCCAAUAUCGCGUGAUAAUCGUGAUCGUGUAAAAAGUCCACACAUUUAGCAUAUUUUUACAAUACUAGCCUAACUUUUGCUUGACCACGUCAUGUGUAGCCAAUACACACACAGUAACUACAGCAUAUUUACCAUGCUUCUCCUACUGUAACCGUAGUUUUACUCUGGACUUUGUAACGCACAUAACCACGACAUUUACUAUGGGUUUACCAUAGUAACCAUAGUUUUACUCUGGUAUUUGUAGUUACUAACACACAAUAACCACGACAUUUACUAUGGGUUUACCAUAGUAACCAUAGUUUUACUCUGGUAUUUGUAGUUACUAACACACAAUAACCAUGACAUUUACUAUGGGUUUACCAUAGUAACCAUAGUUUUACUCUGGUAUUUGUAGUUACUAACACACAAUAACCACGACAUUUACUAUGGGUUUACCAUAGUAACCAUAGUUUUACUCUGGUAUUUGUAGUUACUAACACACAAUAACCACGACAUUUACUAUGGGUUUACCAUAGUAACCAUAGUUUUACUCUGGUAUUUGUAUUUACUAACACACAAUAACCACAACACUUACCAGGAUUUUACCACAGUAACUGUUUUUACUCUACACUAUUUGUAAAGCACAGUAACCACUAAGUUUGCCAUGCCUUUAAUAUCUUUUUGUGAUGUAAUUGUAAUUCAGUGUUUUUUCUGUCUUGCAGUUACGUCGGAUUACAUACUCCACAACAACCUGUAAUCCAGCAGAUCUUUAAAGAAGCCAUCUCUUGUCAAAUCUCUCUCUCUCUCUCUCUCUCUCUCUCUCUCUCUCUCUCGCUCUGCUAGAAUUAACAGGGAACUUCAACUCCACGCUCCCAAUGCUGAUAUUGAAGAAGCUGUCAAGGGGGCUGAACAAGUCCUUCAAAGGAUCAACCCUUCACAGGAAGGCCUGUCAUGAGAUUUGAAUUUGACCAUCUUGUGCAUUUAUGAAGAAGACCAAAAGCUGCAAAGGCAAACACUUGGAUUUCUCACAGAUUACUUAAUCAUUCUUCAUCAGCUCUUCACAAUAUCAGCCCAUUCAAAAGCUUCCAGAUCUUCCUCUCUUGUGUGACACAUCUGCUCUCAGUCCUUUACUGCCAACCUCCAGUCUUAGCAUUUCUGCUUGUAUUCAUUUUUCCUCUACAUUCAUCACUCCAAUCUCUACUAUAAGCACUCCUGUAUAUAUAUAUAUAUACACAUAAUAAUAAUAAUAAUAAUUAUUAACCAUUUAUUUGUUUUGCAUUUAUUCACAAUAGAAGCAAACAAUGAUUACAGGAUAUAUGUUUUUAAAGGUUAUAAUUGUAAAAUAGCAUUGUUCUUAAUCAUUUUUGCCUAUUUGGUUGAUAAAGGGAAGAAAACAAUAUAUUUUCAACUGUAGCCUUGAUUAUUCUUUGGCAUCUUUUGUCAGGAUUUCUGUAAACAAAUUCCCUUUUUAUUUUUGAAUAUUAAACUUAUGUUUUUUGAAGGGAGUUUCUGUUGCAAUUUUGUUUGUUUGUUUUCACUUAGUUACCUCUAUGCAUUUUUUUUUUUUAUCAACUUUUCUUUUUUUUCAUAGUGGAAUAAACUGGAGAGAGACUGUUCUGGGCACUAUGUUUAUCUGCGAAAAGUUUGACAUAUCAAUAAACACUGUAAAAUGACUAGACAA